RNAcentral lists this long non-coding RNA (1031 nucleotides) under Calidris pugnax (ruff). Its description in RNAcentral is "lncRNA (ENSCPUG00000002119.1)". Lineage: Eukaryota; Metazoa; Chordata; Aves; Charadriiformes; Scolopacidae. The record is from RNAcentral.
CCCACGUGUUCCAUCCAGAGCCCUUUAUUGCAAACCCCGCCCCCCUCCCUCCAUCCCGGCUUCUGAUUGGCCGAGGGGAGGGGGUGGCUCAGCUCCCAUUGGUCAGUGAUGGGGGGUGGGUGGGGUCAGGGCUCUCCGUGGGGCAGCCCCGGCUCAAGUCCGUCUGUGGGGCUGGAUGUGGGUCCGUCCGUGGGUCCGUCCGUGGGUCGGUCUAUGGGUCACGGGGGCGAGUGGGGGCCCUCCCCCCCCCCCCUCACUCCUCGCCGUGGGUCGGUCCGUGGGUCCAUCCGUGGGUCCAUGGGUCAAUCUAUGGGUCAAUCUAUGGGUCCAUCUAUGGGUCAAGUCCAUGAGUCCAUCCGUGGAUCCAUCCAUGGGUCAAUCUAUGGGUCAGUCUACGGGUCCAUCCAUGGGUCAGCCCAGUCUAUGGGUCCAUGGGUCCAUCAAUGGUUUGGUCCAUGGAUCCAUCUAUGGGUCAAUCUAUGGGUCAAUCUAUGGGUCAAGUCCAUGAGUCCAUCCAUGGGUCCAUCCAUGGGUCAAUCUAUGGGUCUGUGGGUCCAUCCAUGGGUCAAUCUAUGGGUCAAGCCCAUGAGUCCAUCCAUGGUUCAAUCUAUGGGUCAAUCUAUGGGUCCAUGUGUCCAUCCGUGGGUCGCUCCGUGGGUCGGGGUUGGUUGUGGGUUGGUUGUGGGGUGGAGGGGUGACAUGUGGGGCGAUGUGUGGGGCGACGUGUGGGGCGCCGUGUGGGUCCAGCCCCCCACGUCUCACUCCUCGCCGUGGGGCCAGCGCAGGCACCACUCGCAGGCGUUUUGGAACAUGCGCAACCAGGGGGCCGGGGUUGGGGACCCCCGCGCCGUGGGGCAGGAGGACCCCGACCCCCCACCCCCACCCCGCGCCGUGGGGCGGCCCCACGCCGGGGGCCACCAGCCCCACUGCCAUGGGGUGACCCCCCGCUCGGGGUGGGGCAUGAGGGCCAGGUGGCGGCCGCAGGGGGAGCAGAGGGCGGCGGCGCCCCCCCCCGAGCCGUUGGGGUUCAG